CCUCACUGAUGGACAUUGGGGGCUUUGAAUUGGUGACCAUAGAACAAGAAUCCUCUUCAUGAUGUGUGAUGUUUGUUAAUUCCCCCCCCCCCCGCCUAUUAUUUCAAGUCCUUUGCAGUGAAGAUCAGAGAUCCUGAGAUAAAGAGGCAUCCAUCAAAUCUCCCUCAAGAACUGUUUUUCAGGAGGAUCUGUCAGGAAGUUCUAACUCAGGACACCUCAGGAGGAAAGAGUAGAAAGAAGUUGACUCUUCCUUAUGGUGGAUCUGAAUCAGUGAUUGAACCUCCAACUCAGGAGGGCCUUGUCUCCUUCGAGGAGGUGGCUGUGUAUUUCUCCGAGGAGGAAUGGUGUGAGCUUGAUCCUGACCAAAAAGCACUGUAUUGGGAAGUCAUGAUGGAAAAUUAUAAGAACGUGAUCACUCUUG
Molecule: non-coding RNA, 421 nt
Organism: Notechis scutatus (mainland tiger snake)
Lineage: Eukaryota; Metazoa; Chordata; Lepidosauria; Squamata; Elapidae
Source: RefSeq, a predicted model, not a curated record